Molecule: long non-coding RNA, 544 nt
Filed under: Olea europaea (common olive)
Lineage: Eukaryota; Viridiplantae; Streptophyta; Magnoliopsida; Lamiales; Oleaceae
Description: long non-coding RNA (OEUR_LNC013950)
Source: RNAcentral
GAGAAGAAAGCUAAAGGAAGGAAAAAGGACCAAAAGUGUACAAAAACAUGACUUUGGGGACAAAAGUGUACAAAUGUCGAAAGUUCAGGGAUCUAGGGUCGCAAUUUUUUGGGGGUCAUUAUUGAAAAGGAAGUCAAAAUUUGAGGACCAAAAUGGAUAACAUAAAAGUUGAGGGACUGGACGUGCAAUUAUCCUUAGGAUCGAAGCUACAAAAAGAAAGAACUCUUCAGCGUCCUCCAAGUGCCAAGUUGUGCCAUAGAGCCUAGGCACCCCGUCUGCCGAGUUGGGGGACCUGAUUUGCUGUUUUUAAAAGAUUGGGACUAUUUUGCAAUUAAUUGGAACGAUUUUUGGCCUUUUUUAAAUGUUUAUCGAACCCUUUUCAUUGAUUCUUCCAUAUUUUAAAACCCUUGCCAAGAGAGAAACAUGAUAUGCAUCUUUGCAUCUUUCAUAAAGAUACAGAAAAGUCACACGAGAGGAUAUUUUUAGUCCACUCGGGAGAGAUUAUUAAACGAAUUAUGAUCAUUAAUCUUCAUAUCCAAAUAUG